AUUGAACGCUGGCGGCAGGCCUAACACAUGCAAGUCGAGCGGAAGAACGGAGCUUGCUGCUGGCUUCAGCGGCGGACGGGUGAGUAAUGCCUAGGAAUCUGCCCGGUAGUGGGGGAUAACGUCCGGAAACGGGCGCUAAUACCGCAUACGUCCUGAGGGAGAGGGUGGGGGAUGUUCGGAUUUCACGCUUUCAGAUGAGCCUAGGUCGGAUUCGCUAGUUGGUGGGGGAAAGGGCUACCAAGGCGACGAUCCGUAACUGGUCUGAGAGGGUGAUCAGUCACACUGGAACUGAGACACGGUCCAGACGCCUACGGGAGGCAGCAGUGGGGAAUAUUGGACAAUGGGCGAAAGCCUGAUCCAGCCAUGCCGCGUGUGUGAAGAAGGUCUUCGGAUUGUAAAGCUCUUUAUGUAGGGAGGAAGCGCACUAAGUGAAUACCUUGCUGUGUUGACGUUACCAGCAGAAGAAGCACCGGCUAACUUCGUG
Molecule: ribosomal RNA, 484 nt
Filed under: uncultured bacterium
Lineage: Bacteria
Description: partial 16S ribosomal RNA
Rfam family: Bacterial small subunit ribosomal RNA
Source: RNAcentral